UUGCCUAUGAAGAUAUUUGAUUUGAAAAUACCAUCUUUCGGGACUGAUUGGCAUUUGUAGCCAUGAUGUUAUUCUGCAAUUCUGAGGCAU
Small nucleolar RNA from Elaeis guineensis (African oil palm), 90 nucleotides. RefSeq annotates it as small nucleolar RNA SNORD96 family. NCBI's taxonomy places the organism in Eukaryota, Viridiplantae, Streptophyta, Magnoliopsida, Arecales, Arecaceae. The record is from RefSeq and is a predicted model, not a curated record.